Molecule: ribosomal RNA, 211 nt
Filed under: uncultured eukaryote
Lineage: Eukaryota
Description: partial 18S ribosomal RNA
Rfam family: Eukaryotic small subunit ribosomal RNA
Source: RNAcentral
UCUGUGAUGCCCUUAGAUGUUCUGGGCUGCACGCGCGCUACACUGAUACGUUCAUCGAGCUUACAACCUUGACUGGAAGGUCUGGGUAAUCUUCAAAUGCGUAUCGUGAUGGGGAUAGAUUAUUGUAAUUUUUGAUCUUCAACGAGGAAUUCCUAGUAAACGCGCGUCACUAACGCGCAUUGAUUACGUCCCUGCCCUUUGUACACACCGC